Molecule: long non-coding RNA, 986 nt
Organism: Herpailurus yagouaroundi (jaguarundi)
Lineage: Eukaryota; Metazoa; Chordata; Mammalia; Carnivora; Felidae
Exons: 2
Source: RefSeq, a predicted model, not a curated record
CAUGCGGGGCGCAAACUCGUGAACCAUGAGAUCAUGACCUGAGCUGGAGUCAGACAUGGAACUGACCAGGAAUUCAGGUGCCCCUGACCAGUCCUAUCUUUAAGGCCUGUAUCUCUCUGAGAAUGUUACUUUUUAUUGUACUUUUUAAAGUUAUUUUCCUCCCCGUUUCUGUAUCCUCAAAAUUAUUUUCUCUAUUUUGGCCUCUCUUUCACGUUAGAUGCUUUCCUCAGAUACCUAUUAAUCACUGAAUGCCUCUUCACGUUUAGCAGUGAAACACGUUUAGCAGCGAAAGCCAGUUGGGUGCUCUGAGCAUAGUCAUGGGACCUGUGAGAUUUAAGCAUCACUGAAGAGUGAUCUCACUGAGCUGUUUGUAGGAAAUUUCCAAUGUGGGUGUCUCCAGAUUUCUCCUCUUGGGCUGGUCAGAUUUUCCAGAGAAUGCUUUUCCUGUUUCCUGCCUGGAAGGUAGGAAAGUUUUCAACGUUCAUCGUUCGGCAUGUAUAUUGCCACCACCCCCAGACCCUCAGACAGGGUGUCAACUUACAAUGCGAGGACUCUGUCUUGUCCCCUCUCUUGAGGACAUAACCUCCAGCACGUCUAGAAUAGCAUGGAGCAACGGAGCAUUCAUUGUGUGGUUUCACUGUGGUCUCUGUCCUUAGCUCGUACAUUUCUUGCCUUGGGGGAAGCCAGCCUCCAUGUUUUCCGGAUAUGCAGAGGGACAGAUGGAAAGAUCCAAGAGGACAGGAGCGGAGGCCUCCUGCCAGUGACCAACAUGAACUUGCCAGGCAUGUGAGUGACCCACCUCGUUGGUGGGUCCCAUAGUGCAGUAAGUAGACUCUGGAGAUGACUGAGCCUUGGUGGAUAUUUUGACGGCAGCCAAAGCUGCUCCCAGAUUCCUGACCCAUAGAAACCGUGAGAGAUGAUAAGUAUUAAUUGCUAAAUUGUGGCGGGAGGUAAUUUGUUAUGUGCUAAUAAACAUUUAACACAGA